This 1991-nucleotide long non-coding RNA is filed under the name Panax ginseng (ginseng). RNAcentral's name for it is "long non-coding RNA (PGIN_LNC007132)". The record is from RNAcentral. Lineage: Eukaryota; Viridiplantae; Streptophyta; Magnoliopsida; Apiales; Araliaceae.
GAAAAAAUACAUCUAAAAUAAUCUCAAUUCAAGAAAUUACUUUUCUCUCUUUGUAUAAUUAAAUACGAAAUCAACAAAUCCAAUAAUAAGAAUGAAAAUAACAAAUAACCAUCUACAAACAAAAUACAAUAUUUAACGUAAAAAACCCUUAAAAGGGAAAAAUUACUGGUCGAACUCCGAAUCUCCACUAUAUCACUAACAAUGGACUUAUAAUAAUUCUCCCAAAUUUUACACCAUAAAACUAGAAGUUGCACAAUAAAUUGAGUGCACAAAUUUACCUUUAAUUAGGUUGAAAAACUUAAUUAACUUUAUCACAAUAAAAACAUCCCAAACAAUAAAGUCUUUAAGUGUUCAAUUGAACAGAGAUAGCAAGAUAUCCACGAACAACAAACUUUAAUCCUCUUAAUUUAUUCUUUUGACAAUUUAUUGCUACCAAGCUCCUCUCAUGUAAAAAAUAAGUGGAUUAAAAAUAAUUUAUUCUCCUAAUCAAAUUAUAUAUUAUAUCUCCUUGUCUUGAUCACCAACCAAUCUAACAGGUAAAUCAUUUUUCAAUUUGGAUUCCUUUCAAGGGUGAGGACCCACACCCAACAAUCUUCUCUUCCGAACCCAUUAGAGGAGGGAUCACUAACCACAACUUCUCACCUAGGGUUAAUUCCAACGAAGUCUGGCUUCAUCUUAUCGGCAUGGUUCUUCUCGAUUAUAAUCAAGCGGGACUAUUUUAUGUGAAACGAAAAUUCAGAUUCAUAAAGAUAUACUUACUAAACAAAACUGUUGCGAUAGCGGAUAGUGCUAAGAAAUUGAAGCUUUACUCCAAGAAUCAAGUGAUGAAUCUGAAACAAACUUGUGUUACGAUAUGGUUGUGUAGUAGGACAUAAUUUUCAGAAGGCAAUGUUCAUGUAGUGUCACAGUUGAGCAUUUAUCAUAAAUUUUUAGUACAUGCUUGCAAGCAUGUGCUGCACAUGGAUAAUGUCAGUAAAAUAAUGACAAAAAGAGGAAAUCGGGCAGUUAGUACGUGGACUAUCUAUGCCGUGAAUUGCAAGAAAAAUUCAUACAAUACUAAGGCAGUCCCAACAUCAAUAAGACGGUUCAAAAAUCAGUCCCAAUUGAACCCUAAAAUUAGUCCUAACAGGAUCAAUUAACCCAACAUUAUCAAUUAAACACAAUCAGUCCCAAAAUUAGUCACACCAUGAUCAAUUACCACACAAUCAGUUCCAAUUGAGUCCCAAAAUCAGUUCCAAAAUCAUUCCCAAAAUCGAUCACAAAUCCACUCCCAAAACAAAAAAUCAGUUCCAAACUUAUCAAUUAACUAAAUCAUAUAUAUAAGGCAAUCCCAAUUAUUGAUAAUUAUUAUCAGAAAAUUUAUUCCACAUAAUUAGGGCAGACAAAUUACCUCAAGUUGGUUGAUAAUUACUGACAUAAAAUCAACUUGAGUUACCCACUAACCUUUAAUUAAUCUUUAAACUAGUUGGUAAUAGCCGCCGCCACCACCCAACACAACGACCACAGCACCGCCUGGUGCCACCAAAGCUCUGUGAGAGCUUUGCACAUACAGGAGGGAGAAGGAGAAAUAUGGGAGAUUGAGAGAUGAAAGAUGAGAGAGAGAGAGAGAGACGGACAACGGGACAAGUGAGCUGAGAAAGAGGGGAGAUGAAAAUGAAAGAGGCGGCAGGGGAUUUUUAGGUUUUAAUAGUUAUUAUCGACGGAAUAGCCGUCGAAAAUGUUCGUCGAACAUAUGGUAUUUUUGAGUAGGUAAACGAGUCGAAUCUCGCUUUCAUGCUCAGAUUCGGCUCGACUCGAAAAAAUUGAGCUCGAAUUUAACUCGAAUUCGAUAAGGGAUUUAUAUUUUUGCUCAUAUUCGACUCGGAUCAUUACUCAGACCUACUCGGUUCGUGUAAGUACUCGACUCGUUUGUAACGAGUUACUCAUGAGCCUUCAAAUCAAGUUUCGAAUAUGAACUAUUUCACUUAAAACUGAACCAUUACAUACUAAAU